This 484-nucleotide ribosomal RNA is filed under the name uncultured bacterium. RNAcentral's name for it is "partial 16S ribosomal RNA". It matches the Rfam family "Bacterial small subunit ribosomal RNA", at positions 28 to 507 of the family's 1533-position model. The record is from RNAcentral.
AUUGAACGCUGGCGGCAUGCUUUACACAUGCAAGUCGAACGGCAGCGCGGGCUUCGUCCUGGCGGCGAGUGGCGAACGGGUGAGUAAUGCAUCGGAACGUGCCCAGUAGUGGGGGAUAGCCCGGCGAAAGCCGGAUUAAUACCGCAUACGACCUGCGGGUGAAAGCGGGGGAGCGAAAGGCCUCGCGCUAUUGUAGCGGCCGAUGCCGGAUUAGCUAGUUGGUGGGGUAAAGGCUUACCAAGGCGACGAUCCGUAGCUGGUCUGAGAGGACGACCAGCCACACUGGGACUGAGACACGGCCCAGACGCCUACGGGAGGCAGCAGUGGGGAAUUUUGGGCAAUGGGGGCAACCCUGAUCCAGCCAUGCCGCGUGCGGGAAGAAGGCCUUCGGGUUGUAAACCGCUUUUGUUCGGGAAGAAAUCCUCUGGGCUAAUACCCCGGGGGGAUGACGGUACCGGAAGAAUAAGCACCGGCUAACUACGUG